Molecule: transfer RNA, 62 nt
Filed under: Acropora cervicornis
Lineage: Eukaryota; Metazoa; Cnidaria; Anthozoa; Scleractinia; Acroporidae
Description: tRNA-OTHER
Rfam family: tRNA
About the family: Transfer RNA (tRNA) molecules are approximately 80 nucleotides in length.
Source: RNAcentral
GGCUUCAUAGCUUAGUUGGUUAGAGUAUCGCGGGGUCACGGGUUCAAACCCAGUUGAAGUCC